GAUGAACGCUAGCGGCAGGCUUAACACAUGCAAGUCGAGGGGCAGCGUGGAGCAGCAAUGCUCUGACGGCGACCGGCGGAAGGGUGCGUAACACGUGAGCGACUUGCCCGUCACAGGGGGAUAACCGGCGGAAACGGCGACUAAUACCCCAUAUGAUGCGAUGCUGCAUGGCAUUGCAUUGAAAGAUUCAUCGGUGGCGGAUAGGCUCGCGGGACAUUAGCUAGACGGCGGGGCAACGGCCCACCGUGGCGACGAUGUCUAGGGGUUCUGAGAGGAAGGCCCCCCACACUGGGACUGAGACACGGCCCAGACUCCUACGGGAGGCAGCAGUGGGGAAUAUUGCACAAUGGAGGAAACUCUGAUGCAGCGACGCCGCGUGAGUGAAGAAGUAAUUCGUUAUGUAAAGCUCUAUCAGCAGGGAAGAUAGUGACGGUACCUGACUAAGAAGCUCCGGCUAAAUACGUGCCAG
Molecule: ribosomal RNA, 469 nt
Filed under: uncultured bacterium
Lineage: Bacteria
Description: bacterial SSU rRNA
Rfam family: Bacterial small subunit ribosomal RNA
Source: RNAcentral